This 2863-nucleotide long non-coding RNA is filed under the name Mus musculus (house mouse). RNAcentral describes it as "long non-coding RNA chr1:134565487-134568350". The record is from RNAcentral. Lineage: Eukaryota; Metazoa; Chordata; Mammalia; Rodentia; Muridae.
GAAGUUUAAGUGUUUAUUGUUUGUUUGUGCCUCUGUUUGUGUGGAAGGAAGUGAGCAGGUGCACACGUGUCCUGCUGUCCUGUGGAGGUCAGAGGACAGCUCUCAGGAGUUGUUUUCUCAGUCCACUGUGUUUUGGAGCCAGGUGCUGUUUCUGCCAGGUGUGCUUCUGGCUAGCUGUGGAGAAGGCUUCAGAGUGCGGUGUGACCACAGAGACAUGCCACCGAAUCUGGGUUUUAUAUGGGUCCCAGGGAUAAACCUCAGGUUGUCGGGCUUGUGCAACAAGUGAAAAGUAUUUUCACUCACUGAGCCAUCUAGCUCUCAGUCCCCUAACUUCUUUUUUUGUUUGUUUGUUUUGAGUCAGGGUCUUUCUGUGUAAUAGCUCUGGCUAUCCUGGAACUCUGUAGAUCAGGCUGGCCUGGAACUCAGAGAUUCACUUGCUCUGGCCGUCCUGAGUGCUGGGAUUAAAGGCAUGGGCUAACAUGCCCGGCUCUGUUUUGUUUUUUUUGUUUUUUGUUUUUUUUAAAGAAAAAAGUUACUAGUAUGGAAAAUAAUUGCUGUAGCUAUUUUUCUAGAUAAAAGCAAAGGGCAGUAUUCCUGGAAUGAGGACCAAGCUGAUUGAUUGUAGAGAAGAUGAGGUUUUGUCCUGUUGCGGUUACACAGGUAACAUUGCAGCAAUUCAGAGUGAGCUCUCUAGUCUUUAAUGCGUGACGGUCACGUGCCUAGGUGAGCGUGGGGUUAUAGUGCCUGGGUUUUAGCCAGUGCUUUGGUUGCCUUUUACAGUUUUCAGAACUUGUAAAGAAACUUGACCAUUUUGGGAACAACUGUUAGCAGGUGUAGAGGUGUGGGGAGUGGGUGGUCGGAUUUCCUGUCUGCCUUGUUCCUUUGCUGGAAUUGGCCAUAUUUUAUAUCAACUAGUUUGGAAGGGACUUUCUGCACAGAUUAGCCCUUUUGUCUGACAGAACAGUUGAGGGUCAGGAGUGCUCAGGGAAGAGAAUGAAGUAGCCUUUCUAAGAUUCUUAAUGUGUGAUUAGGUUCUUAGGUAACUUUUCUUCUGUGCAGGAGAGUAGUUUAGCUUUCAGCAUUGAUGCAAUUUCUGUGAGUAGAAUUGCUAGUUAACAUUUUAUAUGGUGUUAGUUUUUUCUUCCUUUGGUGCUAUUGGAAGUCCUUGUUCAUGUUUGGCAAGUUCUGUACCAUCAAGGGCUGUAUAUUCCCAGUCCUUGUUUUGUACUGUUUUGAGACAGGAUAUUGAUAUUUUUAUUAAGCUAGCCUGGAAUUCCCAGAGCAGUUCAGGCUGGCCUCAAACUCAGUACUUUGCUUUGAAUUCUAGGAUUACAGGAGUAUCUUAACAUACUGGGCAGACAUCCCCUUUAAUUUUAAUUUUCUUUUAAUGUUAAGAUAAAGUUGUUGCCAGGCAUGGUGAUGAUGCACACCUGUAAUCCCAGUAUCAUAAGGCAAGAGGAGAGAAUGUUUAAAGCCAGCUGCUCAUCUCUUAAAAAUCUGUUUCUUCCAAGAAAUAUUUUUUUAGGGAUAAACAUUUUAUCAAAUCUGUGCAUGUUGUGUGUAUUCUUAAAAGUCAGUUUAUUAUGUACAAGGAAGGGCUAUUUUAAAAGCUGCCUAGAGUUGUUUUUUUGUGCAUCCGUAUUCAUAUUCGUGCCUGCAAAUGACUGUGUGCUCAUUUCGUGGCAUGUGCACACGGAGGUCGGAGAAUAAUCCUCCUGCGUGUGUGUUGGUUCAUACUUUUUUUAAAAAAAGAUUUAUUUAUUUAUAUGUAAGUACACUGUAGCUGUCCUCAGAUACUUCAGAAGAGGGCAUCAGAUUUCGUUACAGAUGGUUGUGAGCCACCAUGUGGUUGCUGGGAUUUGAACUCGGGACCUACGGAAGAGCAGUUGGCGCUCUUAACCACUGAGCCAUCUCGCCAGCCCCUGGUUCAUACUUUUUGUUUAAGACAGCCUGUUUUUCUACUGUGUAUGCCAGGUUACUAGUCUUCACACUUCUGCCUCUCCUUGCCAUCUUCCCAUAGAAGCCCUGGAAUGAGGAAUGCUGUUUCCAUGUGGUUGAUCUUCAUGUUUGUGCAGCAAGCUAUUUUACCCACUGAGCCAUCUUCCCAGCCAGCCCUAGAAUUUUUUAAUCUGGUUGCAUCAUGACCUUGGAUAAAGUCUGUUUACCCCAGUGUGUAUACCUUCUCAUCUGCUCUAAAGGGAUCUGACACUGACCGAGGGCUACUGUCUGGGUUAAUUAAUGGAUUGCAGGAGCUUAAAUCUUCAAGUCUCCCUUCCCCCCAUCCCCACCCCCUUCCUUUGCUAAGAAGAGUCUGGGAACAGAUGUAGCAAGACAGAAAAGUCUGGGACAAAUACAUAUCCCUCAUUUUCCUACAGAGAAGAAUUGAUUUUAGUGAAAUUAGGAAAGGCAAAAAAGCCCAACACCAUCAAAGCUAGAAUAAGAACUGGGCAUGGUCUGCAUUCCUGUCUGCUUUAGUUUAGAGGCAGGUGAUCAGUUAGAGGCCAGCCUGGCUUACUCAUGUUCUAGGUUAGUUUUGGAAAUACAACAAGACCUCCCAACCCCAUUUCUAACCCCCAAUCCUAGGAUAUACCUGGAUGUGAUAGGUUAUUCCCAGCAUCCAGUAGGCAGAGACAGAAUCAUGAGUUUAAGACCAACCCAAGAUAAAUAGUGAAACCUUGAUUUUAAAAAAUCCAAACUAGGGCUGGGUGGUGGCACACACCUUUAAUUCCAGCACUUGGUGGGCAGAGGCAGGCAGAUCUGAGUUUUGAGGCCAGCUUGCUUCUACAUAGUUAGUUCCAGGACAGCCUGGGCUCUGUUACAGGAGAAACCCUGCCUUGAAAUAAAUAGCAACCUCCCCCCCCCC